RNAcentral lists this transfer RNA (74 nucleotides) under Candidatus Gracilibacteria bacterium CG17_big_fil_post_rev_8_21_14_2_50_48_13. RNAcentral's name for it is "tRNA-Gln". It matches the Rfam family "tRNA". Rfam says of the family: Transfer RNA (tRNA) molecules are approximately 80 nucleotides in length. Their secondary structure includes four short double-helical elements and three loops (D, anti-codon, and T loops). The record is from RNAcentral. Lineage: Bacteria; Candidatus Altimarinota.
UCGGGGAUCGUCUAGUGGUAGGACUUCAGACUCUGAAUCUGACUACGGGGGUUCGAAUCCCUCUCCCCGAGCCA